This 76-nucleotide transfer RNA is filed under the name bacterium. RNAcentral's name for it is "tRNA-Lys". It matches the Rfam family "tRNA". Rfam says of the family: Transfer RNA (tRNA) molecules are approximately 80 nucleotides in length. Their secondary structure includes four short double-helical elements and three loops (D, anti-codon, and T loops). The record is from RNAcentral.
GGGCCGUUAGCUCAGAUGGUAGAGCACCUGACUUUUAAUUAGGUGGUCGUUGGUUCAAUCCCAACACGGCUCACCA